Molecule: unclassified non-coding RNA, 170 nt
Filed under: uncultured fungus
Lineage: Eukaryota; Fungi
Description: sequence contains ITS1, 5.8S rRNA gene
Source: RNAcentral
CCGAGUUGCAAAACUCCCAAACCCAACCGUCUACCUAUACCAAAACGUUUGCUUCGGCGGGCGGCCCCAGGGCGGGGCCGACGCCUGCGCUCCGGCGCGGCGCCCGCCGGAGGAGACAACCAUAAACUCUUGUUGUUUCAGUAGAACUCUGAGCCUACAGACAAUAGUCA